UUUUUUUUAGAAAAGCCAGAGAUGAGGUCUUGAUUUUACUAUCAAUAGAAUUCCAUAUUUUAGGCCCUUGAAAUCUAGUAUUAAACAUACCAUAAUUUGUUCUUAGUUUAGGAAGAGAAUAAGAUUGGUUAGAUGAUAACCUUGUAUUAUAAUUAUGUAAUUGGUCAACAGGCACAAAAAAGAGGUUAAAUGUAGAAGGCAGGAGAGAGUUGUGAAACUUAAACAUAAGAACAGCAGUGC
Non-coding RNA from Paramuricea clavata, 240 nucleotides. The record is from the annotation of a GenBank genome assembly. NCBI's taxonomy places the organism in Eukaryota, Metazoa, Cnidaria, Anthozoa, Malacalcyonacea, Plexauridae.